AUGAACGCUAGCGGCAGGCCUAACACAUGCAAGUCGAGGGGCAGCACAGGUAGCAAUACGUGGGUGGCGACCGGCGGAUGGGUGCGUAACGCGUAUGCAACCUACCAUUGAUUGGGGCAUAGCCCGAAGAAAUUCGGAUUAAUACUCCAUAAUAUUCAUCAAAGGCAUCUUUUAUGAAUUAAAGCUUUUGCGAUCAAUGAUGGGCAUGCGUGACAUUAGUUAGUUGGUGAGGUAACGGCUCACCAAAACGAUGAUGUCUAGGGGUUCUGAGAGGAUUAUCCCCCACACUGGUACUGAGACACGGACCAGACUCCUACGGGAGGCAGCAGUGAGGAAUAUUGGUCAAUGGACGCAAGUCUGAACCAGCCAUGCCGCGUGCAGGAUGACGGCCCUAUGGGUUGUAAACUGCUUUUCCACGGGAAGAACCCUCCGACGUGUCGGAGACUGACGGUACCGUGGGAAUAAGCAUCGGCUAACUCCGUG
This 483-nucleotide ribosomal RNA is filed under the name uncultured bacterium. RNAcentral's name for it is "bacterial SSU rRNA". It matches the Rfam family "Bacterial small subunit ribosomal RNA", at positions 29 to 507 of the family's 1533-position model. The record is from RNAcentral.